AUAUCCAUUAUGGAAAAUUCAACAUUAAUGUUAUAAUAUUUAUUUAUAAAUAUUAUAAAAAUAGUGUGCAAUUUUUCCAUAUAAGGACAUUGUAAUCUGUUAAUGUAAUAAAUAUUUAUCAUAAGAUUCAAUAAAUAAAAGUUUAUUCAAAUUAGUUAUUUUCCGAUUUCUAACAUAGAAUAAAUUUAAUUGAAUUUGAUAAAUCAUUGACAGAUUUAUUUAUAUAUAGUGCUUAAAUUCUUAAUUGAAUUUUACAAUAAUUUAUAAAUGUAUUUUCAUUUAUUUAUUUAUUGUAUGCACUUAUAUGAUUAACAAUGCUAUAGAUUCAGGAUACCUUCGGGACCCGUCUUGAAACACGGACCAAGGAGUCUAACAUAUGUGCAAGUCAUUGGGUAUUUUUAAUAAAACCCAAAGGCAUAAUUAACUUAACUGUUUUUAAUAUGGGAUUAAUUUAUAUUUUAUUAUGAAAUAUUAAUUCAAUCCCGGGGCGUUCUAUAUAGUUAUGUAUAAUAAUAUUUAUAUUAUUUAUGCCUCUAACUAGAGCGUACCUUGAGCAUAUAUGCUGUGACC
RNAcentral lists this ribosomal RNA (570 nucleotides) under Merodon sp. co LSZ-2019. RNAcentral's name for it is "partial large subunit ribosomal RNA". Lineage: Eukaryota; Metazoa; Arthropoda; Insecta; Diptera; Syrphidae. The record is from RNAcentral.